AGUCGAACGAACUCUUCGGAGUUAGUGGCGGACGGGUGAGUAACACGUGGGAACGUGCCUUUAGGUUCGGAAUAACUCAGGGAAACUUGUGCUAAUACCGAAUGUGCCCUUCGGGGGAAAGAUUUAUCGCCUUUAGAGCGGCCCGCGUCUGAUUAGCUAGUUGGUGAGGUAAAGGCUCACCAAGGCGACGAUCAGUAGCUGGUCUGAGAGGAUGAUCAGCCACAUUGGGACUGAGACACGGCCCAAACUCCUACGGGAGGCAGCAGUGGGGAAUCUUGCGCAAUGGGCGAAAGCCUGACGCAGCCAUGCCGCGUGAAUGAUGAAGGUCUUAGGAUUGUAAAAUUCUUUCACCGGGGACGAUAAUGACGGUACCCGGAGAAGAAGCCCCGGCUAACUUCGUGCCAGCAGCCGCGGUAAUACGAAGGGGGCUAGCGUUGCUCGGAAUUACUGGGCGUAAAGGGAGCGUAGGCGGACAUUUAAGUCAGGGGUGAAAUCCCGGGGCUCAACCUCGGAAUUGCCUUUGAUACUGGGUGUCUUGAGUAUGAGAGAGGUAUGUGGAACUCCGAGUGUAGAGGUGAAAUUCGUAGAUAUUCGGAAGAACACCAGUGGCGAAGGCGACAUACUGGCUCAUUACUGACGC
RNAcentral lists this ribosomal RNA (640 nucleotides) under Brevundimonas sp. RNAcentral describes it as "bacterial SSU rRNA". It matches the Rfam family "Bacterial small subunit ribosomal RNA", at positions 60 to 746 of the family's 1533-position model. The record is from RNAcentral. Lineage: Bacteria; Pseudomonadati; Pseudomonadota; Alphaproteobacteria; Caulobacterales; Caulobacteraceae.